Molecule: ribosomal RNA, 312 nt
Filed under: Triticum aestivum (bread wheat)
Lineage: Eukaryota; Viridiplantae; Streptophyta; Magnoliopsida; Poales; Poaceae
Description: partial small subunit ribosomal RNA
Source: RNAcentral
AUGAAUACAACUUCAAUAUUUGUCUGGUAUGCACGCAAUCAAUCAUGUACCUGUCUCCGUCCUGUAAAAAGGAUCAACAUCUGCAGCUAUGGAUAUGAUGUUUGGAUUAUCAUCUUUCAUUUUUGUCACGCUCGUAGGUGCUGCAAAACAUUAAGCAUGGUACAAGUCAUUGUUAGACUUGCACGUCAGGCAUCACAUCACAGUAUUUUCACAGUUUAUAUACCUGGCUCAAUCGCGCAAAUAGCAUCUACUUGUUCAUCAACGGGUAUCAAGUUUGCGUUGUAUUCUUCAGCAUGGUUUACGCCCGUCUGA